UACAUCCAUCUUUAAUGCUGUCAAAGUGUUAAAUAAAAAAAUAUAUUUAUCUGAAAUCCGAAUUGCAGCACCAGGAGAGAAGGAGAAGUUGGCAGGAGCUACUUCCUCUUGAUUUCCAAAAAGGAAAAUAAAGUUCCUCUUGUGAUGUUUCGCAACGUUAGCUUAGUUGUUCUUGAAAGAAAACUGCAUCCCUGGGAGCUACACACACCUGCGGAUGACAUUUUACCUCCUUACAAGGGCUGUGCAACAUGAAAACCAAAAGACCUUUGGCUGAUAUGUAUCACUUAGGUAUCACAUGGCACCUUACCUAUGUGAUCUUCACCAUAUUGGACUUCAUCUAAGAGAAAUUUAACAAAAUAAUGCUGCAUAUUGUUCAAUUAUGCCACAAAAUGGUGUAUCACAAUAUUUGGUAACUCUGUUUAACAGAUCUGUAGUUUCCCAUUAACUUCUAAGGAUGUUUCCUGGAAAUAACUAUAUAAUUUGAUCCAUUAAGGCUCCAGUCAAACCUUUAAAGCUAUGGUAGGUAAUGUAUUUCAGAAGCAUUUUUUGUUUAUAUUUGUUGAAAUUCUCUUUACAUCCCGACAGCAAUCAAUAUAUCAAACGCUCUGGAAAAAAUCCGGUAUCUGUCGCAGGAGUGUAAUAAGCGAGAAACAUCAAGCUCAAAUCGCGGCUGCGGCAGCUAGCAUUGGCACAUCCGCUGACCUGCUACUGUUUGUGGCGUGUGUAUAUAUAUGCACAAUGUGAUUUAGCCAAGUAGGACAUGUUCCUGGACCAGCAUUGCAAUCAACCAAUCACAGCCCUCUGACAUCAUCAGUGUGCUGCUCUUGUGCACAAAAUUCCUUUGUGCUUCUUCAGAGCACACUUGUUUGGGAGAGGCAGUAGUAAGAAGAACCUAAUCAUGUAAAGCUUGAUCUUCAUCAUUCCAGCUGUUGUAAACUAUGGAUGAUCAAUUACAGAUAUGGGCCCCAAACCCUAAACAUGUUUAUAUAUAUAUAUACUAGUUUGGGUGACCUCUACAUUUCUCUGUGCAUCACAUAAUUCAAAAUCAUGUACAAUGGGAUUUCUAUCAGUGAAUAUAUUUGAAAAAUAAAUCUGUUAUUCAGUUAAUACAGUCUUUAAUGUCAGAUGUUAGUUUAUUUUACUUUCUUGCUUUUGUAUUGGCUACAGAAGCUUGUAAGAAUGCGAAGGAUGAAGCCAGAACUUAGAAAAAAGUUAGAAAAAACUCCUGCUGUUGCUGCCGUUUCUUCUGUAUGUGCUUCUGUAUGUCCAGGCGUUUUUGAAACACUUUAGAAACUCAUUAGUAGUAUUAUUCACCAACUCAGCAGAUGCAUAUGGACAUCAGCAAACAUCAGCAAAUGGGUGCUGGUUGACAUGCAGAGUAAAACAAAACCAGUGCCAAUAGAAAGUUAUAGUCUUUUACACUAAAAUAAAGUGUAUAAAACUAAAAGUGAAUACAACGUGACAGUGAAACCAACAUUAAAAGAAGAGUCACACUUAAAACCAAUAAGUGAUGAAAUUUUUUGAGUUGUGUGUGGGAGUCAUGUAUAUUAUGGAUUAUAAUAAGGUUGAAAGUCUUUCUCUGUCGAGUUUAAACCAGUGAUUUUAAAAACCUCAAUUGAUGUUUCUGUCUUCUGAUCCAGAGGGAUUACGUUAAAGACUUUGAGUCCAAAAAAUGCCGAAGGCGGGUUCCCAGCUGCUCUGAUGUGUUGUCAUUGUGAGCAAUGUAAGUCUCUGGAUCUGAGGUCUCUACAAGAAACAUAUCUUGAUGCCGUAUCAACUGUCAAGCCUGACGAAAAGUGCAUUACUUAAAAGGCAGAUAAGAUCUUAAAAUAUGUAAAUGCAGACUAACUGUAGGCCAAAGCAGAGACUUCCCAUAUAACUGCUAGUUGAAACUGUAGCAGCAGCAUGAUUAUGUACCACUUGUAGCUAGUAACCUUGGAGGACGCCUACUUGAAAUUAUUUCUAAAACCAGUUAACUGAUUAGCCAGAGAAGCGCUAAAUUGUAAAUCACAGUUUUGAUAGUUGCUUCACUUUCAGCACAGUUUACUUUAUUUGAACAGAAUGAUCCUCCCAGUAUCAGUACUGCUUUCCAUGGAGUCAUGGUCAGUUAACUGAAAUCAUGUAAAGAGUGAAGACAUCUUUUCUGGUUCCAGCUUUUCACAUUUGUUCCUUAUUUCUCAAUCACAGCACUGUAAAUUCAUACCCUCAGGAUUUUUAGACUUUUGGCCAGAGUAAAUAAGGAGUUUGAAAACAUAUAAGAAUGGGUGCUCGAUUAAAAUAAGAGUAAUUGGUCAUGGAAAGUUGUUAGUUUGAGCCCUAUAUCAGUCAAAAAUGAAUGCAAAUGCAUCUCAGCAAUUAGGGGAGUAACAAUAAGUAUUUUUUUACAUUGUUCUUCAUAAAGUUUUGUUAUGUCAUGAAUGCUAUUUAACUGAGAUUCCAAUUACAAAGUGCUUUACAAGGCAGACAAAAAGAACAAAGGAUAGAAUGCAAUUCCACAUUUCCACAUAUAUAAAAUCAAUAAAUAAAGAUGAUAAGAAAGCCUAAUUACAACUUGAUGACAGUGUUUGUUAGCCAGAGAAGUGGAAUAUGUUUAGUUCAAGAUUUCCACAGGUUAUAACUAUUGUGAAGCGACAGAAAAGCUAUUAAAAGAAUAACACAA
This is a long non-coding RNA of Siniperca chuatsi (mandarin fish), 2659 nucleotides long. RefSeq lists it as uncharacterized. The record is from RefSeq and is a predicted model, not a curated record. NCBI's taxonomy places the organism in Eukaryota, Metazoa, Chordata, Actinopteri, Centrarchiformes, Sinipercidae. The transcript has 2 exons.